RNAcentral lists this ribosomal RNA (899 nucleotides) under Brachybacterium sp. HZBC61. RNAcentral's name for it is "bacterial SSU rRNA". It matches the Rfam family "Bacterial small subunit ribosomal RNA", at positions 378 to 1290 of the family's 1533-position model. The record is from RNAcentral. Lineage: Bacteria; Bacillati; Actinomycetota; Actinomycetes; Micrococcales; Dermabacteraceae.
AAAGCCUGAUGCAGCGACGCCGCGUGGGGGAUGACGGCCUUCGGGUUGUAAACCUCUUUCAGUAGGGAAGAAGCGAAAGUGACGGUACCUGCAGAAGAAGCGCCGGCUAACUACGUGCCAGCAGCCGCGGUAAUACGUAGGGCGCAAGCGUUGUCCGGAAUUAUUGGGCGUAAAGAGCUUGUAGGUGGCUUGUCGCGUCUGCCGUGAAAACCCGAGGCUCAACCUCGGGCGUGCGGUGGGUACGGGCAGGCUAGAGUGUGGUAGGGGAGACUGGAACUCCUGGUGUAGCGGUGAUAUGCGCAGAUAUCAGGAAGAACACCGAUGGCGAAGGCAGGUCUCUGGGCCAUUACUGACACUGAGAAGCGAAAGCAUGGGGAGCGAACAGGAUUAGAUACCCUGGUAGUCCAUGCCGUAAACGUUGGGCACUAGGUGUGGGGAACAUUCCACGUUUUCCGCGCCGUAGCUAACGCAUUAAGUGCCCCGCCUGGGGAGUACGGCCGCAAGGCUAAAACUCAAAGGAAUUGACGGGGGCCCGCACAAGCGGCGGAGCAUGCGGAUUAAUUCGAUGCAACGCGAAGAACCUUACCAAGGCUUGACAUGCACCGGACGACUCCAGAGAUGGGGUUUUCUUCGGACUGGUGCACAGGUGGUGCAUGGUUGUCGUCAGCUCGUGUCGUGAGAUGUUGGGUUAAGUCCCGCAACGAGCGCAACCCUCGUUCCAUGUUGCCAGCGCGUUAUGGCGGGGACUCAUGGGAGACUGCCGGGGUCAACUCGGAGGAAGGUGGGGACGACGUCAAAUCAUCAUGCCCCUUAUGUCUUGGGCUUCACGCAUGCUACAAUGGCCGGUACAAUGGGUUGCGAAACUGUGAGGUGGAGCGAAUCCCAAAAAGCCGGUCUCA